GGACUACAAGGGUUUCUAAUCCUGUUUGCUACCCACGCUUUCGCGUCUCAGCGUCAGUAUCCAUCCAGAUGGCCGCCUUCGCCACUGGUGUUCCUCCCGAUAUCUACGAAUUUCACCUCUACUUCGGGAAUUCCGCCAUCCUCUCCGGUACUCAAGCCGAGCAGUUUCGGGCGCACUUCCUCAGUUAAGCUGAGGGCUUUCACACCCGACUUGCAAAGCCGCCUACACGCGCUUUACGCCCAAUAAUUCCGAACAACGCUUGCACCCUCUGUAUUACCGCGGCUGCUGGCAC
Molecule: ribosomal RNA, 292 nt
Filed under: uncultured bacterium
Lineage: Bacteria
Description: partial 16S ribosomal RNA
Source: RNAcentral